This is a non-coding RNA of Haemonchus placei, 148 nucleotides long. Lineage: Eukaryota; Metazoa; Nematoda; Chromadorea; Rhabditida; Trichostrongylidae. The record is from Rfam.
AACCUUCCUUCUUGGCGCUCCUAUUGUUUUGAAGAUAGAAGUGUAUGUUAUGGAAGGGAAAUAAUAUCCCUUAUGGGUGUUCGGAUCUCCUUCGGUGCCGUUUAAAUUUUCUUAUCGAACGGUAUCAUCCUCUGGAUUCGAGACAUUG